Artibeus jamaicensis (Jamaican fruit-eating bat) is the source of this 131-nucleotide small nucleolar RNA. RefSeq annotates it as small nucleolar RNA SNORA38. Lineage: Eukaryota; Metazoa; Chordata; Mammalia; Chiroptera; Phyllostomidae. The transcript has a single exon. The record is from RefSeq and is a predicted model, not a curated record.
CCCUCCUACAAAGGGGUGUCAGUGGUUCCCUGCGUUUGGACACGCAAGAACUGGAGGCGGAGAAGUGCGCACUUGGAGAAAUCUGGCGUCGGCUUGCUCCCUGUAGGCUCGAAAUCAGCCAUCCUACGUAG